Molecule: small nucleolar RNA, 108 nt
Filed under: Dasypus novemcinctus (nine-banded armadillo)
Lineage: Eukaryota; Metazoa; Chordata; Mammalia; Cingulata; Dasypodidae
Description: Small nucleolar RNA SNORA31 (ENSDNOG00000029813.1)
Source: RNAcentral
UUGCAGUUUAAGAAAGUUCAUUUCUACUACAGAUGCAAGAAAAAGAAGGUUCUCACGCUUUCUGUCUGCCUGGUUGUGGCAGCCAAGAUUGAAUGGGGGAAUACAGGA